RNAcentral lists this unclassified non-coding RNA (335 nucleotides) under soil metagenome. RNAcentral describes it as "partial contains 5.8S ribosomal RNA, internal transcribed spacer 2, and large subunit ribosomal RNA". The stretch from base 1 to 120 matches the Rfam family "5.8S ribosomal RNA", at positions 35 to 154 of the family's 154-position model. The record is from RNAcentral.
GAUGAAGAACGUAGCGAAUUGCGAUAAGUAGUGUGAAUUGCAGAAUUCAGUGAAUCAUCGAAUCUUUGAACGCACAUUGCGCCCGCCAGUAUUCUGGCGGGCAUGCCUGUUCGAGCGUCAUUUCAACCAUCAAGCCCCCGGCUUGUGUUGGGGACCUGCGGCUGCCGCAGGCCCUGAAAACCAGUGGCGGGCUCGCUAGUCACUCCGAGCGUAGUAAUACAUCUCGCUCAGGGCGUGCUGCGGGUUCCGGCCGUUAAAAAGCCUUAUUUACCCAAGGUUGACCUCGGAUCAGGUAGGAAGACCCGCUGAACUUAAGCAUAUCAAUAAGCGGAGGA